CCCUUAGAUGUUCUGGGCUGCACGCGUGCUACACUGAUAUUGCCAAUAUGUCAUUCUUAUCCGAAAUGGAUUGGGUAAUCAAGUAAUGAAAUUUCAUGCUUGGAAUCGGUAAUUGCAAUUUUAUCGUGAACGAGGAAUUCCUAGUAAGCACUAGUCAUCAGCUAAUGUUGAUUAUGUCCCUGCCCUUUGUACACACCGCCCGUCGCUACUACUGAUUGGGUGUUCAAGUGAGAUGCUAAGACCCUUGUUGCAUGGUUCAUUAUUGUGCUCCGAAAGGAAAAAGUUUCAAGCUUGAGUGUCUAGAGGAAGUAAAAGUCGUAACA
This 323-nucleotide ribosomal RNA is filed under the name uncultured eukaryote. Its description in RNAcentral is "partial 18S ribosomal RNA". It matches the Rfam family "Eukaryotic small subunit ribosomal RNA", at positions 1470 to 1796 of the family's 1831-position model. The record is from RNAcentral.